RNAcentral lists this transfer RNA (20 nucleotides) under Vanhouttea lanata. RNAcentral's name for it is "partial tRNA-Phe". Lineage: Eukaryota; Viridiplantae; Streptophyta; Magnoliopsida; Lamiales; Gesneriaceae. The record is from RNAcentral. RNAcentral also lists the same sequence under 10 other names.
UCGGGAUAGCUCAGCUGGUA